Molecule: ribosomal RNA, 274 nt
Filed under: uncultured bacterium
Lineage: Bacteria
Description: partial 16S ribosomal RNA
Rfam family: Bacterial small subunit ribosomal RNA
Source: RNAcentral
AUACGAAGGGGGCAAGCGUUGUUCGGAAUUACUGGGCGUAAAGCGCACGUAGGUGGAUUGGUCAGUUGAGGGUGAAAUCCCAGGGCUCAACCCUGGAACUGCCUUCAAUACUGCCAAUCUUGAGUCCGAGAGAGGUGAGUGGAAUUCCUAGUGUAGAGGUGAAAUUCGUAGAUAUUAGGAAGAACACCAGUGGCGAAGGCGGCUCACUGGCUCGGUACUGACGCUGAGGUGCGAAAGCAUGGGGAGCAAACAGGAUUAGAAACCCCUGUAGUCC